This 185-nucleotide unclassified non-coding RNA is filed under the name uncultured fungus. RNAcentral describes it as "partial contains 18S rRNA, ITS1, 5.8S rRNA, ITS2 and 28S rRNA". Lineage: Eukaryota; Fungi. The record is from RNAcentral.
AAGGAUCAUUUGUGAUAUAAAGUUUGGCACUUUCGAGUGCCGACUAUAUAACAUGUGCAACUGUUCUAUAUAUAACUGUAAAACACUGUGAUUGUAAUAUAUAUCUUUGACUACUUCUUUUCGAAAGGAAAGUUAGUAGUAUCAUGGAAAAAGCACAACUUUUAACAAUGGAUCUCUUGGCUCUU